AGGGACUUAGGUUAGCAUUCUAGACCGUGGGCCUUCAAAGCCCUAAGCGAGAGUUAAAAUCUCCCAGACCCUG
Molecule: transfer RNA, 73 nt
Filed under: Odontobutis potamophilus
Lineage: Eukaryota; Metazoa; Chordata; Actinopteri; Gobiiformes; Odontobutidae
Description: tRNA-Trp
Rfam family: tRNA
About the family: Transfer RNA (tRNA) molecules are approximately 80 nucleotides in length.
Source: RNAcentral